GCGCUUGCUUCAGCAGCACGUGUAUUAAAAUUGGAACAAUACAGAGAAGAUCAGCAUGGCCCCUGUAUAAGGAUGACACACACAUUCUUGAAGUGUUCCAUAUUUUG
Molecule: small nuclear RNA, 107 nt
Filed under: Aotus nancymaae (Ma's night monkey)
Lineage: Eukaryota; Metazoa; Chordata; Mammalia; Primates; Aotidae
Source: RNAcentral